UCUCAUCAUUCAUAACUUGAAUAACAUUAGUGUCAAGUUUGGUUUUUGUGAGCAUUUAUCCACAUAAGAAGCUCACUAGCAAUGAAAACAUAAGAACAGAAUAGCAAAUAAAAGGCUGAAUCAGAUUAUUUUUGUUGUAAUGACCCCAUGUAGUGGAUUGAGUGGCCCAGCUUCCUUUACAGAGCCUGUUGUCAUACUAUCAACCAUUUUCUUGCUACAUUUGCAGUGCAGCUCCACCAAGGGAGUAUUAUCCCAGUCUGCUCCCAUGGUCCCUUCCAUCUCAUGCUUGAAAGCUUUAAGGCUGUAAUGCUAUAUUAAUCUGUGUUACAAAAUGUCACUGGUUGCAGAGUACUGGUAAUCCCACCUACCCCAGUAGAGCAAGGUGAAAGAUUCCAGCGUGAUCUGGGCUCUCAGUAUGGCCUCUUGUACAAUGACUAAAUAAAAGCCGUACAUAUUAUCUUGUCUCCAGGCUGAAACAAAAAUCUAAUGCAUCAAGAGAAAUUACAUCUUUUUUUUCUUUAAAGGUGCGCAUUCACUCUGUUAAUUGAAGAGCAGACACUGGAAAUAAUCUGAAACACAGUCACAACCAAAAGGCACUGAAGCCUCAGUGUUAUUAUGCUGUGAGCCAGCUACAAAGUACAGACCUGGAAGUCCAGGAGUUCCACUGUUGCAGUGCCACUAUGCAGACCCCCCAUUUAGAUGUAUGUGGGAAGGGAGCAGGAAGAGUUGAAGGCAGCUGCUGCUUUUUUCAGCACUUCAGAGGGACUUCUGAAUCCUACCGUAUUUUAUGCUUAGUCCUGCUUAGUUCUUUGCUCUUGAGGAAGCCAGAAGGUAGAGCUGGAACCCAGAUUAGCCCAGCAGGUUGACCUGCUGGCUCUUGCCACUGCUCACUCCAGAGGAAUUCUUGCCCAGGGUAGCAGCCCAGCAUUCCUGCCCCAGACAGGCUGUGACAUACACAGGUGUCCACUCUCCCUUUGGUGUGCUUGGGUAUCUGGUGUCAAGCAGGAACAGCUUUUGUCCUGACACUAUACUAAUGCAUUUACCCAGGUCUUUCCUGCUCUCUUCCAGAUCUGACAGCCUCUAGCUAGGUGGGGGGGAAGCUUUAGUUACACCUUUUAUGAUUCACACCUAAUUUAGGUGCAAUUAAAACAUCUAAAGUCAUGAGAAGAAUAAGACAUAUACCUUCCAAGGAAGGAAAAAGAGUGGUAUCUAAACUAUACAUUUCUAACAGGUAAUCUGCUUCUCACCAGGGUGCUUGUCAAGUUUGAGAAACUGAUACACACGUAACAGACCUGAAGCAUCAGCCUGGCUCAAGGUCACGCUGCAAGAACCUUCAUCCUUCAACAAAUCAAAUGGUGAAGAUCUACCACCAGCAGGAAAACCCCCCUUUACAGGCUGGCAGCCAAAGGAGAGAAUCUGGUGUUUCCACUGCAAAGCAUGAGGGAGCACAGAACUCUGUAGGAACUAUCCCUUUUGGCACAGGGAAAAAGGCACUGGCCCUGUCAGAAUCUUUGAUGUAAGAAAGUCACAGGAGAGAGUCAUUUAACCCUUCCUCUUUAUGAAACAGCAGUAAAAGAAAA
This is a long non-coding RNA of Neopsephotus bourkii (Bourke's parrot), 1580 nucleotides long. RefSeq lists it as uncharacterized. The record is from RefSeq and is a predicted model, not a curated record. Lineage: Eukaryota; Metazoa; Chordata; Aves; Psittaciformes; Psittacidae. The transcript has 2 exons.